This is a long non-coding RNA of Schistocerca piceifrons (Central American locust), 1971 nucleotides long. RefSeq lists it as uncharacterized. The record is from RefSeq and is a predicted model, not a curated record. The transcript has 2 exons. NCBI's taxonomy places the organism in Eukaryota, Metazoa, Arthropoda, Insecta, Orthoptera, Acrididae.
UUACACUUGUAUUUCCAUGGACCUAGCUUUCGUUGAAUUAGUCAAAUUACUUUGUUUUGCAAUAUUUGUAAAUAUGUAAUAAAGCGAUACAAGUACAGUGUUUGGCGGUGAAUCGCACAAGACAUUAAUGACAGCGAAACAAGGGGACGUGAUAUAGUUCUCAGAAGUUACCACAUCCCAUUUGAAGGCGUUGUGAGUAUUAACUUUGAAGACGAAAUUUUUGGCGAGCGGGAAGAUCUGUGUUUGUUAUUGUUUUGGUCAAGAUAGUAGGUGCUUCGUGGAACUGUAGUGGUAACUCAGCCAUAGGCUUCGUGCUGUUCUGAAUUAUAAGAAACGAAAAGCAGAACGCAAAAUGGGUUGCAAAAUUGUUGGAGAGAGAAUAGGAAACGUAAUAUACAUUGACAUUCUGAAAGAUAUCGCAAAUUCAAUAGUACCACAACAGAACAACUACAGGAGCGAAAUGUACACCUCGCCACUCUAAAUUGGGGCCCAGCUCAUCGCAAGACUGCAGAAGAACGUCUCUGUGAAAUAGGAUACCCUGGACCAUAUUUAAGCUCUUAUGGGGUGUGAUGGUUACAGAAACAUCCGCCAGCUUGUCACAAGCUAGUAAUGUUGGUGACUGGGCUGAGGAUGCUGUUUUGAUCAAGACUGACCCACAUCUCGUUUUGGACAAUCCCUCCACCACUCCAAAUGCUCCACAAAAAACUGAGGCUUCAUUGUCAUGAAAGAUUGCCCAUCAGCUCUCGAACAUACGAGGUACCGUGGCGAAUAAGUUCCGCUGCCAUCCUUCGCCUGAUGUUCCUUCCAUGGUGUGGCCAAGAAGGGGAACGAUUUGGCGUCGCACUUCUGUGCGUUUAAUUGAACUUGUGAUCGCUUAGAGACUGCUAGUGUUUCACCACCACCAGCAAGAGAUGGACUACGCUUGAUCGCGUGUCAUUCGCCCUGAUGCCACCCACUCAGACCAAGGACACUACCCACAGGUGCCACCUAGCCACAGCAAAGGCCACCUGGCAGGACGGCCAUUGCCAGACGUCCCGAUGCCGGGGGAUGGGUAUCUACCCCUUGGCAUACGAGGGGAUUUAAUGGCGCAGGCAUGAGCAGAGUGAUCCCUGUGUGGUCAGGGGGCUACAACCAACACGGUACAUGGCGGCCCCACCACAACAGACUGGCUACCGUGCUGGAUAUCAGGUGCAAAGAAAUCCGUGGUCAUCGUCGACACAGAAAGCGACACUGCACAAUGCAUGGUGGAAAACACAUCCAGGAAGGUGUCCUCGUCCAAGAGAUGGGGAAUGAGCGGGACUGAGAUGCGACAAUGAGGAAGUGGGCUAAAGAUUUCAAUGCACGAUGGACAUUAUGCACCAUGUAAGGCUCCCUUCCCCAAUUGGCUUGAUCUUCAGGGAAAAUUUUGAAGAAUGGUGUUCGAAACCCUACAGGGGACCGUCACAUAAAGGCCGAAACGUGGGAAACUCCUUUUAAUCGCCUCUUAUGACAGGCAGGAAUACCUAGGGCCUAUUCUUACCCCCGGAUGUGCAGGGGGAGAACCAUCAGUGAUUUCACCAUACAGGCAAAGCAAAGAUGACUGAUGUGAAUCUUCUACUUACUAUCUAAACAUUUUGGGGAUGACUGGAAGAGCAUAGGCGAUUUAGAUUUCUGUGCAAGCUUCAUUGGUGCAGUUCCUAUUGUAACUGGCAGUGAGGAAGGGGUUUGUACAUCAGCUUGUGGUUGCUUGAAAGGAACAUGAGGACCUUACCAAAUAUUAAGAGAAACCAAAAGAAUGGCCAUUCUCAAGAUUCUAUAAAUCAAAAUAUUUACCAGAAAGACAUGCUGAGUUUGAUAUGAAAUGAUUAAUGUGACCAUAUUUAUUGUGUAAUAAAAAUGUUUUCAAAGACAAAUGGCACCAAAAAGGACAUCAUUAACACUAUUAUUGUACAAUAGUAACAAAAAUAAAUACUUAGUUAUGUAUUUGCCUCA